CCUACGGGCGGCAGCAGUGAGGAAUAUUGGUCAAUGGGCGCUAGCCUGAACCAGCCAAGUAGCGUGAAGGAUGACUGCCCUAUGGGUUGUAAACUUCUUUUAUAUGGGAAUAAAGUGCAGUAUGUAUACUGCUUUGCAUGUACCUUAUGAAUAAGGAUCGGCUAACUCCGUGCCAGCAGCCGCGGUAAUACGGAGGAUCCGAGCGUUAUCCGGAUUUAUUGGGUUUAAAGGGAGCGUAGAUGGGUUGUUAAGUCAGUUGUAAAAGUUUGCGGCUCAACCGUAAAAUUGCAAUUGAUACUGGCAGCCUUGAGUACAGUUGAGGUAGGCGGAAUUCGUGGUGUAGCGGUGAAAUGCUUAGAUAUCACGAAGAACUCCGAUUGCGAAGGCAGCUUACUAAACUGCCACUGACAUUGAUGCUCGAAAGUGUGGGUAUCAAACAGGAUUAGAUACCCUGGUAGUC
Molecule: ribosomal RNA, 460 nt
Filed under: uncultured bacterium
Lineage: Bacteria
Description: partial 16S ribosomal RNA
Rfam family: Bacterial small subunit ribosomal RNA
Source: RNAcentral